AGCAGCCGCGGUAAUUCCAGCUCCAAUAGCGUAUAUUAAAGUUGUUGCAGUUAAAAAGCUCGUAGUUGAAUUUCGGGGUUCUACCGUUGGUCGGGCUUUGUCUGUACUGGCGUGUAGAAUUUCUACCUUCUGGGGAACCAUCAUGUUAUUAAUUUAACGUGGUGGGAAACCAGGACCUUUACCUUGAAAAAAUUAGAGUGUUCAAAGCAGGCUUAUGUCUGAAUACAUUAGCAUGGAAUAAUAGAAUAGGACGGUGGUCCUGUUUUGUUGGUUUCUGAAUCACCGUAAUGAUUAACAGGGAUAGUUGGGGGCAUUAGUAUCCAAUUGUCAGAGGUGAAAUUCUUGGAUUUA
Molecule: ribosomal RNA, 351 nt
Filed under: uncultured Racocetra
Lineage: Eukaryota; Fungi; Glomeromycota; Glomeromycetes; Diversisporales; Gigasporaceae
Description: SSU rRNA
Rfam family: Eukaryotic small subunit ribosomal RNA
Source: RNAcentral